AUCGUUACCCGGGCCCAACGCCGGGCCAAAGUCCUAUCUCAGGGUUUCCCACGUCGCUCGCUCCUUGACGGCUGAGCGACACUGGGUCUGAGGUGUAAGCGCUUUCCAGGCCCUUCCCUGGGGCUUGGAGGGGAAUGGCGCAAAGGACUUUUCUGACAAGCAGAGGGGUUGGACUCCUGAAAACCUGGACAGUGUCAUCAUCUUCACCUGAAGAGUGGAAAAAUUCAAGCAAAGAAUUUCUCAGGAAAUGACCAAGUAAAACAUCUGGAGUAAGUCAGCAGGAUUCAAAGUGACUCCCCCGAACCACCUGGUGGUGUUUCUCUCUGAAAGCAGCACUUGGUACCAGUGUGAACUCUCCUCCUUCAGAAGUCCCAUCAGGUGGACGUAAUAUGAGGGUCUGGUCCCCCAUACCUUGAGGACUCUGCUGCCAUCUGACAAUUAGAGACAAUCCAAUUGUCCUCAUCCUUGAGGACUCUGCUGCCAUCUGACAAUUAGAGACAGUCCAAAACAUGCCACACUUUGAUCCUAAACACAUUCCUGGCUUUGGUCACUUUUGAAAAG
RNAcentral lists this non-coding RNA (561 nucleotides) under Pongo abelii (Sumatran orangutan). The record is from RNAcentral. Lineage: Eukaryota; Metazoa; Chordata; Mammalia; Primates; Hominidae.